CCUACGGGCGGCAGCAGUGAGGAAUAUUGGUCAAUGGACGAGAGUCUGAACCAGCCAAGUAGCGUGAAGGAUGACUGCCCUAUGGGUUGUAAACUUCUUUUAUAUGGGAAUAAAACGUUCCACGUGUGGGAUUUUGUAUGUACCCUAUGAAUAAGGAUCGGCUAACUCCGUGCCAGCAGCCGCGGUAAUACGGAGGAUCCGAGCGUUAUCCGGAUUUAUUGGGUUUAAAGGGAGCGUAGGUGGAUUGUUAAGUCAGUUGUGAAAGUUUGCGGCUCAACCGUAAAAUUGCAGUUGAAACUGGCAGUCUUGAGUACAGUAGAGGUGGGCGGAAUUCGUGGUGUAGCGGUGAAAUGCUUAGAUAUCACGAAGAACUCCGAUUGCGAAGGCAGUUCACUGGACUGCAACUGACACUGAGGCUCGAAAGUGUGGGUAUCAAACAGGAUUAGAUACCCCGAGUAGUC
Molecule: ribosomal RNA, 461 nt
Filed under: uncultured bacterium
Lineage: Bacteria
Description: partial 16S ribosomal RNA
Rfam family: Bacterial small subunit ribosomal RNA
Source: RNAcentral